GGAGGAACCUCUGGAGAGAACCGUACUACUUUGUUGUAGAAAGCGGUCGCCGAAGGAGCAAGCUUUGUGUAUGCAAGGUGAAACUCUCAGGCAAAAGGACAGAGGAGUGGAA
This is a regulatory RNA element of Vibrio genomosp. F10, 112 nucleotides long. It matches the Rfam family "Glycine riboswitch aptamer". Rfam says of the family: This family represents the bacterial glycine riboswitch. The record is from Rfam. NCBI's taxonomy places the organism in Bacteria, Pseudomonadati, Pseudomonadota, Gammaproteobacteria, Vibrionales, Vibrionaceae.